RNAcentral lists this signal recognition particle RNA (98 nucleotides) under Helicobacter valdiviensis. Its description in RNAcentral is "Bacterial small signal recognition particle RNA". It matches the Rfam family "Bacterial small signal recognition particle RNA". Rfam says of the family: The signal recognition particle (SRP) is a universally conserved ribonucleoprotein involved in the co-translational targeting of proteins to membranes. Lineage: Bacteria; Pseudomonadati; Campylobacterota; Epsilonproteobacteria; Campylobacterales; Helicobacteraceae. The record is from Rfam by way of RNAcentral.
UUUUGAGACUUGUGCAAUAGGGUUUUUAAGCAAUGCUUCAGGGUGGGAACACAGCAGAGCACUUGAAAAUUUUAUGUGCCGCAAGUAUCUUAAGAGGG